RNAcentral lists this ribosomal RNA (472 nucleotides) under uncultured bacterium. RNAcentral's name for it is "partial 16S ribosomal RNA". It matches the Rfam family "Bacterial small subunit ribosomal RNA", at positions 28 to 523 of the family's 1533-position model. The record is from RNAcentral.
GACGAACGCUGGCGGCGUGCUUAACACAUGCAAGUUGAACGGGCAGGUAUGGAAGCUUGCUGAAGUAUCUGUUAGUAGCGGACGGGUGAGUAAUGCAUGAGAAGCUGCCAUUGGGAGGGGGACAACAGUUGGAAACGGCUGCUAAUACCCCAUAUGCCGGAAGGUGAAACGGAGUGAUCCGCCCGAUGAGGUGCUCAUGUCCUAUCAGCUAGUUGGUGAGGUAACGGCUCACCAAGGCGACGACGGGUAGCCGGCCUGAGAGGGUGACCGGCCACACUGGAACUGAGAUACGGUCCAGACUCCUACGGGAGGCAGCAGUGGGGAAUAUUGGGCAAUGGGGGCGACCCUGACCCAGCGACGCCGCGUGAGGGAAGACGGCCUUCGGGUUGUAAACCUCUUUUGUACGGGAAGAAGGAUGUGACGGUACCGUGCGAAUAAGUCCCGGCUAACUACGUGCCAGCCGCCGCCGUAA